RNAcentral lists this ribosomal RNA (433 nucleotides) under uncultured bacterium. Its description in RNAcentral is "bacterial SSU rRNA". It matches the Rfam family "Bacterial small subunit ribosomal RNA", at positions 30 to 507 of the family's 1533-position model. The record is from RNAcentral.
AUUGAACGCUGGCGGCAUGGCUAAAACAUGCAAGUCGAACGGGAUCGCAAGAUCUAGUGGCGGAAGGGUGAGUAAUGGUAUCGAACGUGCCCCGAGGUGGGGGAUAGGCAUGGGAAACUGUGCGUAAUACCCCAUGAUUUCCAAGGAACAAAGCUUCGGCGCCUUGGGAGCGGCGAUACUCCUAUCAGGUAGUUGGCGGGGUAAUGGCCCACCAAGCCGAAGACGGGUAGCCGGUAUGAGAGUACGGCCGGCCACAUCGGGACUGAGACACUGCCCGGACUCCUACGGGAGGCUGCAGUAAGGAAUAUUGGUCAAUGGACGAAAGUCUGAACCAGCCAUGCCGCGUGAGUGGUGAAGGCCUUAGGGUUGUAAAGCUCUUUUGUCGGGGACGAUAAUGACGGUACCCGAAGAAUAAGCUCCGGCUAACUUCGUG